This 241-nucleotide ribosomal RNA is filed under the name uncultured bacterium. Its description in RNAcentral is "partial 16S ribosomal RNA". It matches the Rfam family "Bacterial small subunit ribosomal RNA", at positions 105 to 334 of the family's 1533-position model. The record is from RNAcentral.
UAGGCGGACCGGGGUGGAGGUAAGUGUCUGGGAAACUGCCCGAUGAGGGGGAGUAACUACUGGAAACGGUAGCUAAUACCGCAUAACGUCGCAAGACCAAAGAGGGGGACCUUCGGGCCUCUUGCCAUCGGAUGUGCCCAGAUGGGAUUAGCUAGUAGGUGGGGUAACGGCUCACCUAGGCGACGAUCCCUAGCUGGUCUGAGAGGAUGACCAGCCACACUGGAACUGAGACACGGUCCAG